GUCUUUGCAUCAUUAGUUCAUGCACAGGAAAGCUAAUAAAAGGUCUAGAGUCGAUUCUUUGUGUACAAUUUGCAUUUGGAGUCUGUUGCUGUUGUGUCUCAACAUAAGGACCUAGUAAGUGUCAAUGCAGUAAAAUCAGGCCAGCAUGAGACUGAAAAAUCUGAAUAAAUUGCUCAGAGACAUAGACAAAUCAUUGGGUGCAUGAAAAUGCCUGACACAUUGUUAGGAAGCAAGACCGCACUGAUGAGCUCAGAAAUGCCAAAUGACCUGGUAGACCAAAUAAGACCACUGUAGUGGAUGACCAAAGAAUAUCUUCAAUUGUGAAGAAAAACCCAUUUUCAACCAUCAAAAAGAUCAAGAAUACUCUCCAGGAUGUAGGCAUGUAGGCAGAUGUUUCAAAAACUACCAUGAAGAUAAAACCAGCUAUAGAUUAUACAGAUGUUACAUAAAAGGACCAUAAGAUUUCAAUUUGAGGAGCAAUGAGAAACAGGUGUCCACCCAAACCUGAGCCAUGGGAGCCUGAUACAUGGGAAAAAGGAUCUUAAUGAAAAGUGAUGGAUAUCCCAUCCAGUAUGGACAUAUCCUCUCCACGUUUUAGGCCCCCCUUCACCCUCACACAACAGCACUUCCCCUGCUUUUGGAGAUAGUCCUUAGUGAAUUACACCAUCAACAGAUGCAUAGUGAUUGAAGAGUAAAUACAUGGGAAAUAAGAGCUCGAUAAGCACUGCUGAGACAACCAAAUACAAAGAGAAAAGGUUAUUUUCUCAGUGAAAUGACUACAAGUAAUUUGAGGGAAGGAGAGAAAAAAAAGUCACGGAUGGAUCAGUUUCUGAGGAAAAGUGUAAACUAAAACAUAAUAAGGAUUUUUCCACCUGCUGAUUCAGAGAAUUAGAAGCAUACAUUAGCAAGUAGAACCAGGACUCGUGACAAAUUAGCUGAUCUCUAGGCAGGUACUCCCAGUGGGAAGACUGGUACGUUUCCUCCCUUGCACUGUUGCCAGUUGUGCCUGGUAAAGCACAGGCGUAGUUGUGUAUUCUCCACGCAACAAACAGCGAGGAACCAUCAUUACUUCAAAAAGACACUGCACUUCCCUGGAUUCUUCACUUUCUUCUUUCUUCAGGGUGUCUCUAUAGCGCUGUUAUGCUCUGUGAAGGAUAUUGGGAUCCCCAAGGGGUUCAUCACACAGGGUUCUACUGCCCUCGUCUCUCAGACACCCCAGAGCAAUCCUACUGCUGCUGGCAAGGAGAGAGCCUCAAACAGUGCUGCAACCAAUCACAGUUCCAACAUAUCAUGAACAUUAGCCUAACAGAAGUCAGUCCCACAGAGCUGGUUCACAGCAGACCACUCUCCCUCGUGGUUGUCCUCCUCUAUGGGGCUCUGGUGCUGGUCCUGAUGGUGACUGAUUUCCUGUGGUUUUGCCGCUUGCGAGGACUCACGGUGACAGCAGCUUUGAGGAAGUACAUCACCUGCCCUCGAUGGGUGAAAAGUAUCCUAUUCCCCCGUGACAAGAAGCGGCAGCGAUACCAUGGCAACAGGGAGUUAGCUCUACUACAUCGCAAGAUCCCUGAAGGCCCUUCUAAAAUGAGCAACAAGAGGGUAUGAGGAUAAUGUAGGCUAAUACAUAUAGGCCAUUCAUGCUUCCCCAUAACACCAAUUUAAUAUAUUUAUUAAUUAAUACAAAUAAAUACUAAGUUGUUAAUUUCAGAGUUAAUAAUAAUAUAGUUGUGUCUUCGAUGGAAAGGGUUUAUUUAUAGGCAAAUCAUCCUUCAAUAUGCAGCAAUAAUCCACGCGUAUUGGCAGUAACUACCUAGGAAGUGUUAGGCUAACUCUUUCGCCCACGAUCUCUUGCCUAUUGCAAAUACAUACUGGUUGCUGUAAUCCAUGGCCAUUUUACCAUUAAAACAAGAGAUAUCUUUAUAGUUUUAGCUCGCUUUAUUAAAAAUAAUUUGCAUAAAAAAAUAUCGCGGACAAAUGUUAGAAUCUGACACCCUGUCUCGUGAGGUGAAAGGAUUGUAUUAUCAAUAAAAUUGAAAGGCAUUUCUGAAUGCGAUAAAAAAGCAAUAAUGAUUGCCAACAAACUCAGAAAAAG
Anguilla rostrata (American eel) is the source of this 2089-nucleotide long non-coding RNA. RefSeq lists it as uncharacterized. NCBI's taxonomy places the organism in Eukaryota, Metazoa, Chordata, Actinopteri, Anguilliformes, Anguillidae. The transcript has 3 exons. The record is from RefSeq and is a predicted model, not a curated record.